RNAcentral lists this ribosomal RNA (143 nucleotides) under uncultured bacterium. Its description in RNAcentral is "partial 16S rRNA". It matches the Rfam family "Bacterial small subunit ribosomal RNA", at positions 357 to 511 of the family's 1533-position model. The record is from RNAcentral.
GGGAAGUUUUACCGUCAAUGGGCGGAAAGCCUGACGGAGCAAUGCCGCGUGGAGGUGGAAGGCCUACGGGUCGUCAACUUCUUUUCUCGGAGAAGAAACAAUGACGGUAUCUGAGGAAUAAGCAUCGGCUAACUCUGUGCCAG